CACUAACAUCGUUGCACCACUCCCUAAAUAUAUGUACUUUGCUAACCCUAUGUCUUUUUAUACACUUCUAUAAGAUAAGUAUCAACCGAGCAGUUCUUGGAAGAUGUGAGAGUAAGGGGUUAACAGAAAAGAUAGUCUGCAGCUCUUUAAACAGUGUCAAUUUGACCCAGUCACUCCUGCAGACUACCUCCUUUUUGUUCUCAUUCGUACUUAGUUCCACUGUUAUCUCUUGGGAGAGUAACAUAGAGUAGGUUAUAGCCAGACUUAAGUAAAAUUUCUUUUAAAGCUACUAAAUAUACUAGAUAUAAUAUGGGCAAGAAGUGCAACACAUUCCCUUCAAAUGGGAGUAAAAGGCAGUAUGAUUUGCAAGAGCAUCACUGAAAAGAAUGUUUACUGAAUGUUCACUGUGGGCAUGGUCCUUCUGGAUGUCUGUUACAUUUAUACCUGCCCCAAAACUUUGGGCAGGUGUGACAUAAGCUCUCAGUAUCAGUGCAGGGGGGUCAGAGGGGUAGGCUUAGGUAUGCAGAAAGUUAUUUGUCAUUUUCAACAGGUAAUAAAUGUAUGGGUUUUUUUUAAAGAUUUUAAUAACUAAUUUAAGCAUGCUCUAACUUUUUAAUACGGCAUGAUAUAUGGGGAGAAGAUAUUUAGGUGAUAUAAAAUUUGCCAAGAUGAACUCAUGUAUCAGGUCAUUUACAUUCAAUUGAAAAUCAGCUGUAUAUCUUUUUAAGAAAUUUCACUGUGAAACAACAGACAUAGGUACAAAAUAAUCAGAUAUUUUAUUAGAAUCCCAAUAAUUAGUGGGGAAAAAUCCCUAAAUACCUUUUCUUGAAAUUGAAGAAGGUAUUUCACCUUAAUGAUAAAGGACGUAACUUAAAGGCCAGGAUCCUCAAAUAAAAGUAAUAUAAUAACUUUU
RNAcentral lists this long non-coding RNA (913 nucleotides) under Homo sapiens (human). Its description in RNAcentral is "HSALNT0107546". The record is from RNAcentral. Lineage: Eukaryota; Metazoa; Chordata; Mammalia; Primates; Hominidae.